UACUGAAGGCAAUAAAAAGGCUGCAGGCAAGAAAGGUCAGGCUUAAAGAAACCAAUGAGAGUAAACUGACCUGUUUGUUGUCUCUAAAAAACACCAGAAGAAAAAUGUCCAGGGUCAAUGCCGACCUGCAUGAAAGUGGAAUAAACUGCAAGGUAAGUAAUGUAAGAUCCCCAAGACAGCGCUACAAGGUCACCGUUGGACAGUGGCUUGUUGGAAGAGCAGGGUAAUGACUCCCAGCAAGAACUGACAAAUCUGGUGCAGUCCAGGAGGCUGAGGUGCCCUGUGGUUCUUAAGGGAGCUGGUGGCCACAGAAGUUAACGCCUCUCACUUUUGAUAUUGACCUCCCCCACUCCCCUUUGCUCAGAGACACUUUUGCUCAUAUCAGUUCAUCAAAUACCCAUGGAACUUGAUCAGUUUGUCUGUCAGUUGUUCAACUUUAGCAUUGGUCGAUAUUACCCAGUUGAAGAGAUGUAUUUUCCACAUAAAUCCGUAGAAUUCCUGCAGAAAUAGAGCAUUGGUGGUUCAGUGGUAGAAUUCUCGCCUGCCACGCGGGAGACCCGGGUCCGAUUCCCGGCCAAUGCAGCAGAGGUCGCCUUUUAACGCCAUGUUAGUCGUUCUUCAUAAGCGGCAGCUGUCCCCAGAGCCAUGAGCACAGCGCAGCUUCACUCACUGGUGGUUGAGUGGCAGAGUUGUUGUUUCCCGCGCAGGGGACCCAGGUUCGAUUCCCAGCAAAAGCAAAGCAGUGUAUCUUGCUACUUUAGAAGUGGGCAACUUAUCAGUGUUUUACAGGGAACUAGUGGAAGCACUCUAGACCACGCUUUUCCAUGCUUGUUCAACGAAGUACACGCAAUUAUGGCUCAUGCACCUGUGAAAAACUACUGAAGGCAAUAAAAAGGCUGCAGGCAAGAAAGGUCAGGCUUAAAGAAACCAAUGAGAGUAAACUGACCUGUUUGUUGUCUCUAAAAAACACCAGAAGAAAAAUGUCCAGGGUCAAUGCCGACCUGCAUGAAAGUGGAAUAAACUGCAAGGUAAGUAAUGUAAGAUCCCCAAGACAGCGCUACAAGGUCACCGUUGGACAGUGGCUUGUUGGAAGAGCAGGGUAAUGACUCCCAGCAAGAACUGACAAAUCUGGUGCAGUCCAGGAGGCUGAGGUGCCCUGUGGUUCUUAAGGGAGCUGGUGGCCACAGAAGUUAACGCAUCUCACUUUUGAUAUUGACCUCCCCCACUCCCCUUUGCUCAGAGACACUUUUGCUCAUAUCAGUUCAUCAAAUACCCAUGGAACUUGAUCAGUUUGUCUGUCAGUUGUUCAACUUUAGCAUUGGUCGAUAUUACCCAGUUGAAGAGAUUUAUUUUCCACAUAAAUCCGUAGAAUUCCUGCGGAAAUAGAGCAUUGGUGGUUCAGUGGUAGAAUUCUCGCCUGCCACGCGGGAGACCCGGGUCCGAUUCCCGGCCAAUGCAGCAGAGGUCGCCUUUUAACGCCAUGUUAGUCGUUCUUCAUAAGCGGCAGCUGUCCCCAGAGCCAUGAGCACAGCGCAGCUUCACUCACUGGUGGUUGAGUGGCAGAGUUGUUGUUUCCCGCGCAGGGGACCCAGGUUCGAUUCCCAGCAAAAGCAAAGCAGUGUAUCUUGCUACUUUAGAAGUGGGCAACUUAUCAGUGUUUUACAGGGAACUAGUGGAAGCACUCUAGACCACGCUGUUCCAUGCUUGUUCAACGAAGUACACGCAAUUAUGGCUCAUGCACCUGUGAAAAACUAC
Long non-coding RNA from Carassius gibelio (silver crucian carp), 1755 nucleotides. RefSeq lists it as uncharacterized. Lineage: Eukaryota; Metazoa; Chordata; Actinopteri; Cypriniformes; Cyprinidae. The record is from RefSeq and is a predicted model, not a curated record. The transcript has 3 exons.